Long non-coding RNA from Larimichthys crocea (large yellow croaker), 405 nucleotides. RefSeq lists it as uncharacterized. Lineage: Eukaryota; Metazoa; Chordata; Actinopteri; Sciaenidae. The transcript is spliced from 2 exons. The record is from RefSeq and is a predicted model, not a curated record.
AAGCACUUCCUGUUCCUGUGUGACUGUUACACUUUACUCAUGAGGAAGUUUCCACGUUACGUCACUUUGAUUUCUCCAUCAACGUUCAAACACCCAAAGUUUCAAAAAAAGACUUUAUUCAUAGAAUUCGUCAUCAUGUUGAAAUAAACACUCAUUAAAGUUUAGACAUCCUGAUCUGUUCACAGUCUCAGAGACAGGUCCGGGACUCGCCUCACAGUCUCAGAGACAGGUCCGGGACUCGCCUCCCAGUCUCAGAGACAGGUCCGGGACUCGCCUCCCAGUCUCAGAGACAGUCUGAAUACAAGUCUUAAAAGCAUCUUGAGGUGGUCUCAGACAGCAGAGAUGAAUUGUAACGUGUCCGUGAGAUGAGCUGGAGAUCGAUGACAGAGCGACAUCCUCUGGAAA